RNAcentral lists this long non-coding RNA (661 nucleotides) under Homo sapiens (human). RNAcentral describes it as "HSALNT0305782". The record is from RNAcentral. Lineage: Eukaryota; Metazoa; Chordata; Mammalia; Primates; Hominidae.
GGAGGAUUGAAAAAAGGGCAUUCUUAUAGGACAGAAAUAGAACAGGGGAGGGGACAAAUGAGGCAAUAAAAGCUGGCCACCCCAGCCAGCAGCUGCAACCUGCUUGGGUCAGUUUCCAAGCUGUAGAAGCUUUGAUCUUUUGCUCUUCACAAUAAAUCAUGCUGCUGCUCACUCUCUGGGCAGUGCCGCCUUUAAGAGCUGUAACACUCACCAGGAAGGUCUUCAAGGCCUGUGGCUUUAUUCUUGAAGUUAGCCAGACCACGAACCCACUGGCAGGAGCCAACUCCGGACACAGUAUGUCUGAAAUUUAUUAAGAGUAGAUUUUAACGCUCUUGCCACAAAACAAUAAGCAUGUGAGGUCAUGAAUAUGUCAACUGCUGUAUUUAGCUGUUCUACAGUGUGCACAUAUAUAAAAACAUCACGUUGUAUUCCCGAAAUAUAUACGGGUUUUCUUUGUCAAUUUAUGAAAACGAAUUAUUUUUUCAAAUGUGCAUAAAAAAUUUGGGACAAUACUUGAUGAUUUGUGAAUAUUUAAUAAUGUCAACUAUUAUUUUUACAAAGCGUUUUAGUAGUAAAUAUAGUAGUCAAUAGCAUUUAAAACUACCCAAAUAUUCCUUAUAGGAAAAUUCUUAAAUAAAAUAUAUCAUAUCUAUAUUGGCAA